Girardinichthys multiradiatus is the source of this 650-nucleotide long non-coding RNA. RefSeq lists it as uncharacterized. The record is from RefSeq and is a predicted model, not a curated record. The transcript has 2 exons. Lineage: Eukaryota; Metazoa; Chordata; Actinopteri; Cyprinodontiformes; Goodeidae.
AGGAACACAGGGCCAUACAGAGCUUGGUUGGAGAAAGGGUAGCCCUGAGACCUAAGGAAAAACUCAGCUUCCCUAACCCAUUGCUUUACAUCUGUGCUGUGGGCCUGCUUGGUGAACUAGAUCAUUUUAAUUUAAACUUAUGAGUUAGAAGAAGAGGAACUUAAACAACCUUGAGCCACCCACCCUCCCAUACAGGCAGAGCCAAACCAGUGGCCCCUUUGCCUCCACAUAACUUCAACAGUGCUGAGUGGGCAACAUGUCUGAGCUCUGGGACGUACAAGCACAGGAGUGUUAAAGAAGAAUACCAAACAGAGCCCGUCUGUGUCCAACCCCCCAGCCCACAGCUUCCCACCAUGAUCCAAUCCAGAGGACCCUCUUAUACCAAACAAAAGGAAUGAAUUAGGCUGCCCCCUGGGACCAUGACAGAGACUUUGAUACUCCAAAUACUCACUGCCCUCUCUUUCCUGAAAGAAUCUGUGUAAGAAAUAACACUAAUCAGACAAGCUGAUGACGCACUUCCUUUGAUUCUUUUCAGCAUUAGGAAUAACCCAAGGGUUACAGUUGAUAGCAAAAAAAGUAUUUAAGAAAAAAUGCUUAAGUGGAAUAAGAGUUAAAACCAGUAAGUGCAAAUGAGCAACGGCAGCAAGUUU